AGAGUUUGAUCCUGGCUCAGGAUGAACGCUGGCGGCGUGCUUAACACAUGCAAGUCGAACGAACCUUCGGGUUAGUGGCGGACGGGUGAGUAACGCGUGAGAAUCUGCCCUCAGGAGGGGGAUAACGACUGGAAACGGUCGCUAAUACCCCAUAUGCCGAGAGGUGAAAUGAAUUUCGCCUGAGGAUGAGCUCGCGUCUGAUUAGCUAGUUGGUGGGGUAAAGGCCUACCAAGGCGACGAUCAGUAGCUGGUCUGAGAGGAUGAUCAGCCACACUGGGACUGAGACACGGCCCAGACUCCUACGGGAGGCAGCAGUGGGGAAUUUUCCGCAAUGGGCGAAAGCCUGACGGAGCAACGCCGCGUGAGGGAUGAAGGCCUCUGGGCUGUAAACCUCUUUUCUCAAGGAAGAAGAUCUGACGGUACUUGAGGAAUAAGCCACGGCUAAUUCCGUGCCAGCAGCCGCGGUAAUACGGGAGUGGCAAGCGUUAUCCGGAAUUAUUGGGCGUAAAGCGUCCGCAGGCGGCCUCGUAAGUCUGUCGUUAAAGCGUGGAGCUUAACUCCAUUUCAGCGAUGGAAACUACAAGGCUUGAGUGUGGUAGGGGCAGAGGGAAUUCCCGGUGUAGCGGUGAAAUGCGUAGAUAUCGGGAAGAACACCAGUGGCGAAGGCGCUCUGCUGGGCCAUAACUGACGCUCAUGGACGAAAGCCAGGGGAGCGAAAGGGAUUAGAUACCCCUGUAGUCCUGGCCGUAAACGAUGAACACUAGGCGUCG
This 770-nucleotide ribosomal RNA is filed under the name uncultured bacterium. Its description in RNAcentral is "bacterial SSU rRNA". It matches the Rfam family "Bacterial small subunit ribosomal RNA", at positions 8 to 825 of the family's 1533-position model. The record is from RNAcentral.